RNAcentral lists this ribosomal RNA (929 nucleotides) under uncultured soil bacterium. RNAcentral's name for it is "bacterial SSU rRNA". It matches the Rfam family "Bacterial small subunit ribosomal RNA", at positions 8 to 966 of the family's 1533-position model. The record is from RNAcentral.
AGAGUUUGAUCCUGGCUCAGAACGAACGUUGGCGGCAUGGAUCAGGCAUGCAAGUCGAACGAAUCCCAUCUGGGUAACUGGAUGGGGGAAGUGGCGAAAGGGGCAGUAAAGCGUGGGUAACUUGCCCCGGGGUUUGGAAUAGCCAUCCUAACGGAUGGGUAAUACCGAAUGCCCUGUCUGGUUGGCAUCAAUUGGACAGGAAAGAUUUAUCGCCCCGGGAGAGGCUCACGUAGUAUUAGCUAGAUGGUGAGGUAACGGCUCACCAUGGCCAAGAUGCUUAGCAGGUGUGAGAGCACGACCUGCGCCACUGGCACUGGGACACUGGCCAGACUCCUACGGGAGGCUGCAGUCGAGGAUCUUCGGCAAUGGGCGCAAGCCUGACCGAGCGAUGCCGCGUGUGCGAUGAAGGCCUUCGGGUUGUAAAGCACUGUCGAGGGGGAGAAAAGGGCAACCUUGAUCGACCCCUGGAGGAAGCACGGGCUAAGUUCGUGCCAGCAGCCGCGGUAAGACGAACCGUGCAAACGUUGCUCGGAAUCACUGGGCUUAAAGGGCGCGUAGGCGGGCGGUCAAGUCAGAGGUGAAAGCCCACGGCUCAACCGUGGAAGUGCCCCUGAUACUGGCCGUCUCGAGGGAGGUAGGGGCGUGCGGAACUUCCGGUGGAGCGGUGAAAUGCGUAGAUAUCGGAAGGAACACCGGUGGCGAAAGCGGCGCGCUGGACCUCUUCUGACGCUGAGGCGCGAAAGCCAGGGGAGCAAACGGGAUUAGAUACCCCGGUAGUCCUGGCCCUAAACGUUGGGUACCAGUAGUGGACUUACAUGGGUUCACUGCGACGCAAAGUUUUAGUACCCGCUGGGGAGUAUGGUCGCAGCUGAACUCAAGGAUGACGGGGCUCACACAGCGUGGAGCAUGUGCUAUCGAGCUACGCGAGA